UUGUGCGCAAUGUUACCGCUAAUUGAUUGGUGAUAUUUACACGAGUUGAUCGGAUUUGAAAAUUGCGGGGAAGACAAUCGUAUGACUGGCGGAUUCGACGCCGCAGCAUAAAUCUGUUGGUCAGCGUGAUUCUAUUACAGUGGUUAAUAAACUGACAGGUCAGUUAAUGGUUGAAUUUAUGGCAUGACCUGCCCCCUGCUUAACGAAGUUAACGAGGUUUCGGAUAAUGGCCGCUACGUGCUAUUUUAUUAUCUUGUGGAUAGCAACAAUAAUGCUCUAUAGAGUAAAUGUGAAAGAAACUUUUAAAGUUAUUUUUCAUAGUCAUUCAUUUUACACGGAAUUUUCUUCUAUACAAGGAACGAUUACCUUGUAACGUAUAAUACAAUUUUUCAUGUAUCUCGUAUUUCUGAAAUUUACAGGAUGAUACUCUCUCUCUCUCUCUCUCUCUCUCUCUUGUUAGUUAACUUGAAGGUAGUGUCGUUGAUCACACCACAAAUCACGCAUUCUCGUUACCAUUUUACACGCAUACAAUCGUCUCUACCAUGAAACAGGCAAUAGCAGUCUUCGAUGACAGAUUACACGUAGGGAUAUGGCGUUAUCAUCGUCAUGUGAUUGACGAUGCUGCUUUUGAGUUAACUAGCUGGAGAAUCAUUCUGUACGUCACGAAUAUAUCUACGAGCAUGUCUUUUAACGUUAUUAGACCGCGGAUUUUCCUGCAUUUCUAGAAAAUAUGAACAUGCAAAAAUGCAUAAAAUGCAUAUAAUGCGCAAAAGUAUACAAAAUACCCACGGUAUGGUAUCCGUUAUAAUGUUUAACAGGCAAAACGAUUCUCUAUCUUUUUAAUUAUAUUCGUAAAAAUAUGAAUUUGCAUAAAUAUCCGUGGCUUAAACGUUACUAUACACAUACAGAAGCAUUUGAUAAUUCUUACAAAACAAGUUGGUAAUCAUUUUACAGAGGGUUAGAAAAUCGAUUAGUAAACGUUCAGUAGUGAAACGAGCUUCGUUGGUAAAGAAUAUAUGCGCGAGUAAUUUUUCAACGGGUAAUCUAAAUCUAUAAUUUAAUUAAUAUAAAGCAAUUUCGUUAGAAAGUUAGAAAGCGUCGUUUUUGAUUAUUAAUUUCCGAUCAAAUUCACAAUACUGUUCCUCCAUGUCGAUCAAUUAAUGACGCGAGGAAUGUAAUUGGGGAAUAUAUUAUAAGAUAAAUAGUUUAAACUGCCUGAGGAAUGUCAUUCGAUUUACGUAAUUUUAAUUCCAAUUUCGGACAGAAUAAAUAUUUAAACGUUAAUGUUAUACCAUGGUGUGGUUACAGUACGUUAAACAAAUUAAUGGAAUGAUUAUCUUUGCGAAACAAACAUACAUAAAUUCUAGAUAAUAGAGCUCUCCAUAAUUAUAACUACAUGAUAGAAUACAUCGAUAUAAUAACUCAAACCAAUCUCCGUGUAGCCUGUUUACCGUCAAACUCGUUUUAAUUAAAUUCCAAAGCUCGGAGCACAAUUUCACUAAUAAAUCACAAACAUCUCAUCUCUUGACAUAUUCGUGAUUUUUUAGGCUUCGAACGUACCUUUCGUUUCAACGCUUUGUGAAUAUUUCGGUUCACUUCUUUCACUGCACGUCUGACAACUAACAACAUGAUUCAAUAAAAAAAAAAAAAGACAGAUCUAAUUAUUAUAAAAGUUUUGAAAUCUGAAAUUUCUAUCUGUCGUUUCAUGAAUUAACAGAGAUAGAAAGAGAGAGAGAGAGAGAGAGAGAAACCGGCGAUCCUCGCGAGUUAGUAAUUGUCUUAGCCAACUGACGAUUAGACAGCAAUUAAUUCUUUCCCAAUCAGGACGCUACACACGUGCGUUGGUGAAAUCGAUCACAACUGUCCGUUCCCGUGCUUUUCACAAGGACAAGCAGAAUUCCAGGAACGUCCGAUCCUCGUCGCUGGACAACGAAACGAACUCGUCGAUCAAUCGGCACGCUAAUGGCGGAAUUCGGCCAUCGCCACUCGAUGCACUUCGUGCAAAUUGUAUUUGAAGAUUAACUACCGCUGGUUACGUGGAACUCUUUGGACUGUACGUAGAUAGUUUCCAAGUGUAAGUGCAAUUUGUUUAUUGUACAUUAUACAAGCUUUGCGAUUAUGUUUGACGAAAUGUCAUUUGACAUUGUCGGCGUGUAGUACAACAUCCGAAUUUUCUUAAAGUUCGACAGAUUAUUCUGCGAUUGAAUCUAUUUUUGAGAGGAAACCACGAAAAAUUGAAGUUCUAACGUUCCGAAAAAAAUUUACCUCUUCCGGUGGGUAAAUUGAACGUAUAUUAUCAAAAAAGGCAUUAUAAAUAAAUAAUGGAAUAGAAAUUUGAGGUUUGAUCUAUGAACGACAAUUUGUAACAAAAGUGUAUGAGUUUCGUUCGAAAUUGAUUGAUCAAUUACUUUUUCAAUUAUCGUACACGCCAGUUUAGAAAGAUUGAUAAACAAUCGAAACAAUUUAGCUAAAAAAUUACAUUUCUACUUCUAUUUAGUAUUACAAUUUAGUAGUACUCGCUUCAAACAAAUAUUCAUCAAAAUCACUUGUUCCUCUCGAUGCUACACUGCCCCUCACCCUAAAUAGAAAGUUUAGAUAUCCAUUUUAUAUCAAGCAAUUCACGAGCAUCGAUAUCAAACUCUAUAAAAAUGUAAUUACAAUUAAAUACAAAUUAUAUUUAUAUAUAUACGAAUACAAAUUAUAAUUGUAUUUAUACAUACAACUAUAAUUAAAUGUAAAUUAGAAAUCUAUGUACUGCUACUACCUGAAUUGUUCCAACAUUGUAUAUUAUCUUUAUAUCGUCGUGUAUCAAAAGCUGUCACAAAAUAAACGAAAAUAUUUUUACAUCCGUUCGUAAAUUCUUCGAUAACUGGGUUAGCAAGCGGCAGCCUGGCAGACUUGCCGCGAUUACGGCGCCGUUUCACUUCGUUAGUGGCCAAUUUCCGCGGAAACGGCAGAUUACAUAAGCGAGAAACGAGCAAUGCGACCAAAUCCGCAGCGGUCAACAAACGCGAGCGUUGUCGAGCGAUUCGUUAAAUCGUACAAUACUCCGCGGCGGAGGAAAUUAAUGAGCUGGUCGGGGUCUCGGCUUUAGUCAGAAAAAUACAAGGAAAUGCCCGGGCCACGACAAGUGCCUGCCCUAAUUGAAUAAUCGUGCCGCGCCGGUAACAGCCAUGCGAUUCGCCAAUUUUAAUUCACUUUCGACGUUAAUGCGGUUUCUAUUUAACGAUAGGAAAGACCCGUAGCGAAAUUAACGCGCACCUUUUCCACGUUUAACUCGGCAAAGCCGGUAUAAUUCAACAAUUUUCAUCAGCCGAAUUUUCUACACGAUUUCAACCGGCUGCCUGAUAUACGGUAUGAUUCAUAAAUGCGCAUCUAUAUAUUUUAGACGAAUAUAAAUACUUGAGACUUGAGACGAGUGUAUUCGAGGCGAGUCUACGUUUCAAGAUAAGUCAAAAUUGUGGCGAACUUCACUGUCGUUCCUAAGUACACGGACACUUUGUUCGAUUCAUAUCGACGAUACACGAAUAAUUAAUAAGACGUACGAACGAAUACGAUAUUUAAUAUGUUCUUGAGAAACCAAUGGAUACGUAUCAUACGAGAUAUUAGUCGUUUAUUUAAAACCUUAUCGAUCGUACAUAUUAUUCAUCGAGGUGUUAAGCGAUCUUGAAUACCACUGCUGCGAUCAUUCACGACAGUCCCCAUGAUCAAUUCUGGAUCUGUCCUGUUUUCUGAAAAAAGUUUCCAGGACAGAAGAAGAAAGAAAAGACGAUAUCGUAUAAAAGUACCGCUUUUGAGCGGCUUAGCGAUUGGACUGCCAAAUUGGUCAUACUGGCCACGGUGGUCAUUGGUAACCGGAGCGCUUCAACUUCUUACAAUUGUAAAAUUGUAUGAAAAUUGACAGUUAGGGCAUUUUGAA
Bombus terrestris (buff-tailed bumblebee) is the source of this 3919-nucleotide long non-coding RNA. RefSeq lists it as uncharacterized. The transcript has 3 exons. The record is from RefSeq and is a predicted model, not a curated record. NCBI's taxonomy places the organism in Eukaryota, Metazoa, Arthropoda, Insecta, Hymenoptera, Apidae.